CCCGACCUAAAAUAACCUAACCCGGCCCAAGACAACUUUAACCUGACUGAACCAGCCCCCUAAUCCUCCUUCCUCAACUUUUCAUCGUCAAAACCCAACCAAACUGGACCUCUUCCAUCGCCAAAACAACAACAUUCAACGUCAUUCUUUCCUCUUUUCUCUCUGCCAACGAUGGCAGCCUAUGAACCACCGGAAAUUGAUAUUUUCCUUUGAGUUUCCACCUCUCCCCAUUACUUUUUCACUUCUCCAUCAAUCAAGCCGCCCACUGUCACCUCACCCGUCUCUUUUUCUCAAAUCAUCCCUCCCCCACUAAUGUUCAUGGGGAAGUAAAGAAUUCGAAGGACGCUCGGAUUUGGGUUUAAUUCGAUGGAUCCGAACGCUUUACCUUCGAGUUGUCUCGUCUCCCCUUCAAAUCGGCUUGAAAAAGUAAGCCAUCCAUUUUUCUUUCUCUAAUUUCAUCAUUAUUUCUCAAAAAAGUAGUUUCCCAAGAAUUCAAAUUUUUCACUUUUGAAGCUUCCAUCAGAGCCGUUUGAACCUUCUUUCAGCUAUAAAAGGGAAGCUUUGGAAUCCCUUUGAGAGAAAUAUAUAGACAAAAGCAAACACUAGAACAUUUCAAUAGCUUCCUCACUUGCUCUUUAUUUCUUUCUUUAAUUCAUUUUCUUUUCCGGUUCUUCUCGAAGCCCUUGGAGUUUAUAUCGAAGUCAAAAUCGCUAGUGUAGAACUGGACACUCGACGGGCUCAAUCGCUGCCCAACAAAAGAUACAAAUUCGUCCCUUUCAUUUCACUUUCAUUCUCUUCUUUCAUCUCAUUUUUGGAUGGGAGUAUGUGAUUUUGUUCUAAUCCUAGAUUUUGUUGUUGUUUUCGUGAUAGAAUAUAAUUCUGAUUUUGGUGAAGUUAUCUUGGGUCUGAAAAUCUGUUUCAUGAAUAUAUGGGCCUUUAAAUACAUGAACAUAGUACUUAUAUAGGAUUCAAGUUUAUAUUGAUAUUGUUAUCCCCAUUUUGAAUUUAUAGACUUGAUUUCGUCCCAAAUUCCCAUUUUCACAAUUAUUUUGUGGUCAAAUUCUGCAAGAUAUGUGAAAAUCUCUUCUUACUCGGCCUUUGUCUCCCUUGUUUCAUUUUGUCUAUUCAUGUAUAGAUUUGUGUACAUGUAAUUUAUUUCCGUUUAAAUGUAUGUUGACGUUGUUUUUUUUAUCUUCAUUUGUUCAAUAGCUGUCAUGUGUUUUCUUUACACCUUUACGAGUAUGUUGCUAAGUAUUCCCUAUUGUUGGAUAAAUUGAAAAUGGUAUAUUUAGUUUUGGGCUUGGUUUGGGUUGUGUUUUGGUUUAGUGCCUCGAUUUCAAAUAGUUCUUGUUCACAUUUUCGUUCCGAGUUUGAGACAUGAUUUUCAUAAUCUCUCUGGUCAUGAAAAGUUAGUGGAUCUAUGUUGAAUUUUGCCAAAGUGUGUAUAGUUGACUUCUCUUAAAAAAUAAAAAGAAGAUUCAUGGAGAUUUUGCGUCUUUGGCUUCGAAUUUAUAUUUGCAUCAUAAGGUGAAUAUUCUUUUACCUUUAUGGAAAGUGUGUUUAUAUUUUCUUGAAUUUGAGUUUAGACGGAAAAAAAAAGAGGGACUUCAACGUGUCUAUUGCUAAUUUUUUUUUCUUUUUUUAAAUGGCCUAUCUAAGAUGAAUAGGCUCAAAUGUUUUAUCACUGUGGGUGUCUUGACAAUUGCUUAUGUUAAUCAUAUUUCCUAAGCUUUCCCCGUUAAAGUAUGUAAACAAUUUAGAGUGAAUAGACAUUUCGUUCUCCUCUUUUGGAAUACCCAUCUUGCUUUAAAAAAGCAUGUCUUUUGAAUCAUACGUCUCUCUUAAUCUUUACAUUUUUAUGCAUUUUUAGUUAAUUAGUUUUCUAAUCCUUAUUUUUCUUAUUUUACAUGUAAAUUCGGAAGUUUGAGUUUCAAUCGAAACUCCAUUUUGAUUCAAACAUCGGAUCAACCGCCACUAGAAUCGCGGAGCUUCUAAGUACCGUAGAUUAGAAACUCAACUCCGUUAGGAGUCUAGUAUCUAUUCUCUUUUUUAAUUAUUCACGUUCUGUUGCUAGUCCUUUGAAAUAGUAUUUAAUUAUUAUUAGUUAUUUGGAUUUCAUAUUUUUGUUAUUUGUGUUUAUAGUGCUUGAUUAUUUGCGAAUUUUCUAUAAAGUAGAUAAACGUUCUCACACUUUCGCAAUUAACGUGCGACUAGUUGACUCAUAAAAAUGGAUUUCUCUCUUAAAAAGAUGAGCUUAGCAACUUAGAUAUUCGGCUGAUGUUCAAAAAAACUAUUUAUUGGCCUAAAAAUACUUUCUUUAAUAAAAUGAAUGUCGUGACCUGAAUAUUUUUCCUAAAAACCAAAAAAAAAUGAGAGUUCAAUAUUAUUGCGAGAGAGCAUGGAAUAAAAUUCAAUUUUUUUUUUUUUCAGAAAGGAAGGCCUAUCCACCAACUUCGGCUUAUUUCAAUAAAUAAUUUCAACGUUUUCACUUUAUUUUUAUUCAUUUUCUCAAUAAUAGUUUCAAUUUUUCAACUUUAAGACUCAAAGGACACUCAAGGUGUAUACAUAUAUACUCUACAGUAUAAGAGAUAUUUUGUCACUAUUUAUUAUUAUUAUUAUUAUUAUUAUUAUUAUUAUUAUUAUUAUUAUUAUUAUUAUUAUUAUUUACACUUUAUUUCAAUAUCAUAUUUGUGUAUGAGUAUUUCUACUAUUACAUUUACUUUUAACUACUACUAAAAAUUUUACAAAUAAAUAAACACUAGCAUUAUUUCUUAUAUUUUAAAUAUACUCAAGUCUAGUUUUACUCAAGAAUUAAUAUGUUAAUGCGAUUUGACAUUUUUAUAUAUCUGUACUUUGCAACAAAUGCAUUUGAAUACUUUUACUCUUGAAAACUAAAUAAUUUUUCAUAUUUUUUUAGACAUACUUAUUAAUGUUUAUAAUAAAUAAAGUUUCAGAUGCUUUUAAAAGUUACAUUAACCUUCUUUACAUUCAUGUAAAACUAUAAGCCUUUAAAUUUUAUAUAACAUACAUAUUAUAACAAAAAUACUAAUGUCAACUUUACUCUUCGUUUUUAUAUUUUUUUUGAAACAUGCAUAUAUAUUUUGUAAUAAACUAUAUAACAUGUUUUCAUAUAUCAUAAGCAUAUAUUUAUAUAUCUUGUGUGCGUUCUUUUAGUUUAGAUCUAAUAAAUUCUUUGUAGCUAUCACUUUUUUUUGUAAAUAUUUUUUCAAAUAUUUUAUUUAAAACUAAGUUGAAGAACUAUCUUCGGAUAGGCUCUGAUGGGUUCUUAACCUUUUUUUUUGAGCAAGCAAAACCCUUACUCUGAAUCUCAAAUGUUUUUAAAAGACCAAAAACAGAUUUUUAAGUCAUAAAGAUAAUUUUUCUAUUUUUUUUCUAAAAUUUAUGUGGUGACUCUUGAAAAUAUUUUUUUUUUAAAAAUCAGAUAAAGUCUUAACGAUCAUAUGUUGUGUACUGUUUUGAUCUGUUCAAAACAAGGCGUGAUAUCGUGGCGACUCUGUUGGGGAUGUAACUUAGGUCUAUAUCUUAUCGGACUUAGUUUAGGAAUAUUAUUUGGAAUAUUUAUUUAUUUUCAGUACAUUCUGAUAGAGAAUCAGCCUAAGAGAGAUGAAAACUACCUAAAGAAGCAAAACACAAAUAAUGCAAGAAAGUAAAGAUAGGCAAAUUGACAUAAGAAGUUACAAAGAAUUAAGAACCAACGAGUGUAUCAAACUCAAAGAUCCUUAAACAAGUAGAAUCGAUCACCAAUUUCUUACGUAAACAUCAAGGAAAUUGAGUUCCCAAGCAAUUCACAUUUCUAAACAAAAGGGAUCAACACAAGUUAAUCCAAGCUUGCAAUUCAUUCAUAAGAGUAUUCUUUCAAAUAUCAUCAAAGUUACAAAUGAAAUGACUAAGGCAUAUAUUUAUAGUUAUUGUCUUUGCAUAAUAUUACAAAAAUAGCUUAUAAGUGGCUAUUUUGGAGAUAACCUACCUGGGCUCUUCAAAGCAUGCUCCACAUGCGAUCUUGUAGGCUUAGGAGCCUAAAAAGGGGUCCACCGAAUGCACUCUUGAGCUCUUAGUUUGAUCGUGGAUUGGACCUCUUUGUAUUGGCCUCGAAAGAUGUAGUCUAAUGCUUUAAGGCCGAUCCGGACCGUAUCAUUCUCUCAUUUUUGAAAAGAAUUCAUCCUCGAAUCCAAACCUUGUAAAACCAAAAGAAGCCAAGUAUGCACACACUUCACAUAUAACCAAACAUAGCAUUAUGCCAAGGUUGCACACACUUCACAUAUAACCAAACAUAGCAUUAUGCCAAGGUUGCACACACUUCACAUAUAACCAAACAUCCUUCAAGAUAUUGGAAGAAAAGUCAACAUUCAAAGUGCAAAGGAGUUGGCUACGAAAAACAUCAAGAAAUUCUCCUUAGUCCCAUUAACAACAUUACAAAGCAAAUUAUCACACAUUGGAACAACUAAGGGUAGAAGCAAGGAGUCUUUAGGGAGUAGAUUACCUUUCCAAUCACAAGAAACCAUGUUUUCACUUACGUGCCGCACAUCCCGUUUACUUGAAUAACCUUCCAAGAAGGAAUCAACUUUUCUAUCCACAUAAUGUGACAAAAAACAAAGAACAAGAGUUGUUUAUCAAGUGGAAACCAUACUUUUCUUGGAACAACAAAUAGACUUGCCACCUAAAAUAGGGAGGCCAUAUAUUUUAUGAAUACUCAAGUCAUUCCAAAAGACGUUAAUACCAUCUAGGUAGGAUUUUAAAUCAAAUGUCUUUAUUGCAUUGUCUACUCUAGGGUAAAUGCCAUUAUGAUUUCAAGGAAAGCUAAAAAUAUGAGAGGGUAGGUACAUACCUUUGGAGCAAAGACUUGUGCUUGCCCUCUUGCUUUCUAAACUUGCACCAUGGGAACUCAUCCUCUUAUGCAUCAACUUGAAAGUUGGCACAAGGCCAGUGCCAAAUGUAGUGAAUAACAAGUGCUUGGUUUUGGCACCAAGUUCUCCCUUUUGAUCCUAAAGCUUCCCAUCUUUAUCAUUCAUAUCCUUCCUCAUCAUGAGGUUAAAAUUCAAGACAUCUCUUUCUUCAGGCCAAACAUCUUCAUUGGGAGAUUUCAUCAUCAAUCCACAAGGUACAAAAAAGUUUCCUUCUGCCUCCACUAAUUCCUCUUCACCGUCAAUGUCAUCACUCUCUUGAGGGAUUUCCUCACCAUUAUCUUUUCGGGUUACUUUAUCCCCAACAAAGUAAGGAUCACCUUCCACCAAUACAAUGUUUUUUUGGUUGGGGCAUUCACUAGCCUUGUGAUCCCAACCUUGAUAUUUAAAGCAAGUAAUACCUUUAGAAUUGGGAUUAAUAGAUGGAUUACCUUCAUUCCUUGGUGGAUACCUUUGGAUUGCCUUAUCAAUAGGCUUUUUUAUAAGGACUUGUUAAAAUUCUUGUACUUGUUCCAUCUGAAGAAAGUUGAAGAAUUGUAACCUUUAUGAAGGACUUCUUGGCAUUGUUGUUUCUUUCAACCUCAAUGGAUGCUUCAACAAGAUCUUUUAUUCGGUCAAACUUGUGGACAACUAGUUAAGAAAAAACUUCAUAAUCUAAACCACCUUUGAACUGAGCCAUGCAAUGAAUUGGGGGUUCGACAAUCUCAAGACGAAGGAUCAAAUUUAGAAACUCCUCAUAAUAGUCUUCCACACCUCUAUCUCCUUUUCUCAAAUUGUAGAUCCUUGUUAGUUUCUCUUAUUUGAACCAUUACAUAACAUACCUCUCCUUCAUAAGUGCCUUCAAUUCAUCCCAAUUCGGAAGGUUGGUAUUAACAUUUCUUUCUCUUUGCACUCUCCAAGUAGAAGCAUACCCUUCAAAUUGAGCAAUUAUAUGGGUGGCUUUCUUGUGAUCGAUUAACUCAUUUAGUUAGAAGAUCCUAUUACGUUGUAUUUCCCAAUCAAGGUAGAUAACUGGAUCACUAGUUUCUUUGAAGGUAGGAAGAGUGAUCUUGAUGGAGUUGAGACCCGUGUUUCUACCCAUAUUUUAUCCUUGAUCCCAUUGAUGAUCUUCUUGAAAUUGAGGACGGUGUCUUGAAUUUUCUCUUCCAUAUAAAAUCAGACCAAACCUUCCUUUUCGACCUCUAUGUCCUCCUUCUUGAGCUUCUCUUCUAUUUUGUAUAAAUACCAUAAAGAGAGCUACUCAUUUAACUCUUUAUUUUCUCUGUAAGGUUCCUCACCUUUCACAUCAUCAAUUUAGAUUGGUUAGUUAAAUUUAAGUGGAGUUUAGCAGUCUUUGGGGUAUCUGGGUGUGUGGCUCUUGAUUUUGUAGAUCUUCUUAGUGGAUUUGGUUGAAUUGGGGUUGUAGUGGAUGAAUAGGUUUCAGUUGUUUGGAUAAGUAGUGGCUUGGAUGAUGGGUUCAUGUACUUGUCUAGGUGGAUUAGACAUUUAGUGAAGUGUUUUCGGAGUUAUAGUAGUGGAGGUGUUGGGAGCAUGACCAUUAGAGAAAGCAUGAUGGUUUUGAGGAGUAGAUGUAGUAGAGUUUAGACGGAUUUUAAAGGAGUCCAUCCUUCUUGAGAAAGAGUCUUCCAUCCCUUCCAUAUACUUUCAAAAGAUCUCAUUCGGCUAUUCAUAGCAUCAAGCUUCUCCAAGAUGGAAGCUAACAUAAUAUUUGUAGUGUUACUAUCCAUGGUGUGUGAUGUCUCACCUUCUUGAGCCAUUGCACCUAUUAUGAAAUUCUAAACAAAAAUAAAAACAACAAACAAGUUAAAGGUUAGGAAAUCAACCUCACAAGCCCUCAAAGUUCAGACCUUUGGUUGUCACUUAAUUGGCGUCGCAAAUGUUGAUAGCUUAUUUGUACUACAAUGAGAUGACUUGGUACCAAUUAUGGCUUGAGGUCGGAAUGGAUUCUUGUUUGAAAGACUCAAAUAAAAAAAUUAUGUACGGACUAGAAUCAAGAAGUUGCGAUGAAUUAAAAAUGAGAAAAUCAUACAAAGAAAGAAGACAUGAAAUAAAAUGGAUUCAACAACUAAUUCACAACUAAGUAGGUUAUUACUAGUUGUUAAUUAGCAAUAAAAUCAUGAAGGAAACCAAAGAAUCAAAGAAAAGAAACUUAGAAUCUAAAUUUGAGCUUAAGGCAAAUUUGAUGGUUGAGUGACUGGCAGUUUCUAAAUGGUUGGUUGGCGUUUGGGAAUUUUCUUGUUUCCAAUUUGAAUUUCAAUCAAUCUUCAUCUUGGAGGUGUGGUAAUCGGCUUUGGAUGAAUAAAAUGCAAAGAAUUGGGCCCUUUAAUUAUUCUUCAAGCUUAAAAGAUUUUGAAUUUUCUUGUGGUCCCCUCCUUGUACUUUCCCGUGUUCUUUUUUUUGAGAAUAUUUCCUUUUGAUGCUUUUGGACUCUUUAUUUCCAAUUUCUUUCUUUGGAAGACUUGGAAUAUUCUUUGGACAAACAAGUAUCACACUCUCUCUCACCUCCUUUUUGGAUGAAACAAUUACUUUUUAAAUGUUCUUCGAUUAUGAUGAACAUCAAGAACAUUCAAAGUUGAUCCUUAAGAAAAUGACCUCAGAAGUUGAUGAUUUUUUAUUUUUCAAGCACACGUUGAACUUCCAAACAUCAAUCAACACGUUUUCAAGUCCAAAGUUUCAAUCGGAAUGGAUUCUUGUUUGAAAGACUCAAAUAAAAAAAUUAUGUACGGACUAGAAUCAAGAAGUUGCGAUGAAUUAAAAAUGAGAAAAUCAUACAAAGAAAGAAGACAUGAAAUAAAAUGGAUUCAACAACUAAUUCACAACUAAGUAGGUUAUUACUAGUUGUUAAUUAGCAAUAAAAUCAUGAAGGAAACCAAAGAAUCAAAGAAAAGAAACUUAGAAUCUAAAUUUGAGCUUAAGGCAAAUUUGAUGGUUGAGUGACUGGCAGUUUCUAAAUGGUUGGUUGGCGUUUGGGAAUUUUCUUGUUUCCAAUUUGAAUUUCAAUCAAUCUUCAUCUUGGAGGUGUGGUAAUCGGCUUUGGAUGAAUAAAAUGCAAAGAAUUGGGCCCUUUAAUUAUUCUUCAAGCUUAAAAGAUUUUGAAUUUUCUUGUGGUCCCCUCCUUGUACUUUCCCGUGUUCUUUUUUUUGAGAAUAUUUCCUUUUGAUGCUUUUGGACUCUUUAUUUCCAAUUUCUUUCUUUGGAAGACUUGGAAUAUUCUUUGGACAAACAAGUAUCACACUCUCUCUCACCUCCUUUUUGGAUGAAACAAUUACUUUUUAAAUGUUCUUCGAUUAUGAUGAACAUCAAGAACAUUCAAAGUUGAUCCUUAAGAAAAUGACCUCAGAAGUUGAUGAUUUUUUAUUUUUCAAGCACACGUUGAACUUCCAAACAUCAAUCAACACGUUUUCAAGUCCAAAGUUUCAACAACAACCUUCCAAAUUUGAGAUCCCACCUUCAAGUUUCUUCAACUCAAGCUCAACAAUGAUGGAUGACUCAAAACAACCUGGAAUAAGCUCAAAUUUGAGAUCUAGACUUUAUUAGUGUUAGGAAACAAGGAUCUAACACUAGAAACUAAAAAAAGAAACAAAAAAUUCCAAGACCUAAGUCUCGGCCUAGGGGUAAAAUUGAAAACAAAAUUUCUUUUUAUGAUUUUUGAUUUUUUUACACUCUUUUUUUGUUGAUUUUCUAGAUAACAACCCAAGAUUGAUUUCGUAGGAACAAAAUCAAAUCUUACUCUUGAUACCUAAUGAUGGAGAAUCAACCUAAGAGAGAUGAAAACUACCUAAAGAAGCAAAACACAAAUAAUGCAAGAAAGUAAAGAUAGGCAAAUUGACAUAAGAAACUACAAACAAUUAAGAGCCAAGGAGUGUAUCAAACUCACAGACCCUUAAACGAGUAUAAUCAAACACUAAUUUCUUACGUAGACCUCAAGGGAAUCAUGUGACACCCCGUACGUUGCAUGUACUUUUUUUAUUUAUAUGUAACUUGGUAUAGCCUUAUGGUAGGUAAUGGAUGAGAUUUGUCAUGCAAAUAUUAAUGGUGUAGAUGGAAUUCUAGACGUUUACCGUACCAUUUUAUGAGAUGCGAUCAAGUUAACAUCGAUACACCUAUUUAACUUGGAAUUGUAAGUCGGUAUUUAAAUCUAAAGUUUAAAGUGACCAGGUGUGUACAAGUUGUAAGUUAGAUUAAGGUGAUUAGGAGCUGGAAAUGGGAUGAAAUAUUGAGGUACUUUCUUGACUUAAUUAAGCUAGUAGGUGAGUCACCUACUUGGGUUAUAUGAGCCAAGUUAAUGGACCAAGUCCAUGAAUCAUAUUUGGGCCUUUAUUAGUAUACUUAUUUGGGCACAAAUUAAGUAAAAGAAGAAGAAAAAUGGAGAAAAAGUCCAAUGCUCAAAUCUGCCAAGGCCCAAAUAUAAUUGAGCCGAACUAAGAAAUUAAGAAAGUAGGUGCAUCACAUACUUUGACAUUUUGAGCUGCUUGAACUCCUUAAGUAGGUGCAUCACCUACUUGGACCAAUUUGAUUAAAUUUGUGGUCCAAAAUCAGCUAAGUGGAUGGCCAAAAUUAGGGACUUUAUAAGGCCACAUUGCUGGCCAUUUUCCCUCAUUCUUAAGUCACAAAAAAGGGUUACUUCACAAAUUCUCUCUACUUUCUUUUAAACAACAAAGAGUAGCCCUAUUUUUCUUUCUAGGAUUCUUAAAGAAGCCCCAACCUUUACAAGCCAAGAUAAGUGAAAAAACUUAUGGUUUAUCUUAAUUAUCUCAAGGAAUAUUAGGAAAACAUAAUAUCAGUGAUUAAUUAUUGAUUCAUUGUAAAAUAUGGAACAAGCUACUUGUUCACUUUUUCUUUGUUAUUACGAGAUUUCCUUUCUUCUUUGGUUUAAAGUGUGAAGGAAAGUGAAAGUUGAAGUUCUUGAGGAGUUCAAAUUAAAAGAAUAAGUUGCAGAAUUAAGGUAAGGUGACUUCCCAUUUUGUUUUCCUUAUGUAUGAAUUUAAGAAAGAAUUAUGGAUGUGUUGUUAUUGAGAACUCAAGGGAUGAUGGGUUCAAUAAUUGAUUGCUACAAUAAAAGGAAUUUGGGUCUGUUUUGUGGAUUGUUUUGUAUGUAUAUGUUAUGGGAUGCCAGGUUGAUGUUGGAGAAAGGUGUGACUAGUUUGAAUUAAAAUAUAGAAGAAAGGUGUGGUGGUACACCACCGAACUAAUUAUUGCAUGUAUUUAUUGCCCAAUCUAUUUUGCAUAUUGUUUGGAGGGUGUAAUGAAGCUGAGGCAAUUUUGGAGAAUCUAAUAAGAACAUAUAUGGUAUGCUGGUGUAAUUGGAGGAGAAAAGGGUUAAAAUAACACCCUUGAUUGUUAGAUUAAGUGCUUACCGCCCGAUUACUGUUUUAGUGAAGUUAAGUAGCCCAAAUUUUUUGAUUGGUUGCUAAUACUAGUUUACCAUAUAUUCUAUUGUAGAUAAGUAAUCUAAAAGGCGGGGAAGUCAAGUUGGGUUAGUUUCAGAGUUAUAUAACUGGGUAUGUAAGGCAUACUCUAUUUUACACCCUUUGGCAUGAAAUCGAACAUUUGUUCCAUCAAGUAAGCUUCCAAGGUUAUCCUAUAACAAGUGAUACAUAAUAGCAGCACAUUACAUUCUAUGUAGCCAAUGACCUUAUUCCCACUCUCUAAUGUGUUAAAACACCUCAAUACAUGCUUUUUAUUUAACCUGCACAUCUAUUUUCAGUAGAAAAUUUCAGAAGUUCUCUGUUUACUCAAAUAAGACCCAUGUGUAUUUUCAGCUCCUAAACACUUCAUUUGUGUUCCAACAGCUCCCUACCUCAUUGUUGUUGCAUUAAGUUCCCAUUUACAUGUCUCUUAUCACGAGUGGCAGCUCAGGGGCAUAAGCCUAGCAUGGGCCUAUCUCGAUACCUUUAUAUUUAGGUGGAAGAUCAGGGGCAUAAGCCUAGCAUGGGCUGAUCCCAAUGUUCUUAUGUGGGUAGCAGCUCAGGGGCAUAAGCCUAUCCCAAUAUUCUUAUGUGUGUAGCAGCUCAGGGGCGUAAGCCUAGCAUGGGUCGAUCUCAAUUUAUCUAUUUACCACUGAUCAGCUGGUCAUUUGCAUUAUAUGGAUUACAAAGAUUAUGAAGUAACAAAGGUAAAAAAUAAAGAAAAGAAUGUAAUGUACGUUGUCCCAUAAGUAUAUAUUAAGGUGGUCUACUAGUACUACUUAUACACUUGUAUCUAUUUUUUAUUAAGCUAUUGUAUCAUGUGUUGUUACCUUCAGCCUUACAUAUUUAGUACAUAUCUUCAUACUGACGUCACUCACGGGAGACCUGUAUUUGAUGCUGCAGGCACAGAUGCUUCAGCUAAUACGCCUCACUAGUAUGAGCAUAGGAUAUUCAGUGACUAUCGGUGAGCUCCAGGUUGAUUCGGGGCUUUCCCAGUUUGUUCCAUAUAUUUUGGUAUUGUGCAAUAGUCAAGAGUAGGGUGGGGGUUUAUCCCGACCCUAACUGAGUCUAUGUAUCUUUUAGAGGCUUUGUAGACUAAUGUAAAGUUAAACAUGGUAGUGUCUUGUCUUUUAGAUGUGGUGGCCCCAACGGACAAGUGUUAUAUAUAUAUAUAUAAGUUUGUUCUUGCCUACGUAGUUAUUCUCAUUGAUGCAUAAUAUCAUGCUUGUCAGAAACUUUGGUUGUCAUAGUUACAUGCAUGAGAAGUACAAGGUUAUAGAUUUCUCUCGGGCCUUUACGGCUACGGGUGCUUGCCCGCCCCAAUAGGAUUUGAGGCGUGACAAAAAUGGUAUUAGAGCAGGUCGUCCUAGGGAGUCUACAAAUCCAUGUAUACGUAGAGUCUUGCUUUUGGGUGUGUCGUCCACCACAUAUCUAAACAAGACGGUCUGGGCAUUUAGGGGUUGUUUCUUUUUUUCACAUCAUAGAUCAUGCAAUAGAUCCCAAGUUAUAGGUGAAGUCAUAUUUAACCACUAAACCUGUUUCUUUCUUAUUAUAGUAAAGAUGCCGAUUAUAAGAAGGAGUAGAAAUAUAGGUAAGUGAGUAGACGUGGCUGCCGGAGAAGGGAUAAGCAAGUCACUGCUUAGACAAGCUAUUCAAAGUGAGGCUCAAGUUGAGUUUGUGUCACAAACUUCUUUUACUCCUCCAUCUCCAGAAGAACAAAGAAGGAGAAGAACCGCAUCAUCAGAACCACUUAUUAAUUCUACUGACCAAGAUUUAAGGAAUGCAGUAUAAUUGUUGGCUCGUAUAGUUUCUGGGCAAGCUCAAGGAAAAGCAAUUCCAACCACAGGUUCUAGUGGUGCAGAUAUGGCAGCUAGCCUACUGACAUAAGAUUUUCUUAAAUUAGAUCCUCCCACGUUCACCAGAUCAGAUCUUAGUGAUGACCCACAGGACUUUAUUGAUCAAAUCCAAAGGGCUCUAGAUGUCAUGCAUGUAUGGGGUAAGGAGACAGUGGAGCAAACAGUAUAUAGAUUCAAAGGGAAGGCUAUAUUUUGGUAUGAAGACUAGAAACGAUCUACGGGUAUCGAUGCACCUUCAGCUACAUGGAAAGAGUUUAAAGAGGCAUUUCUUGAUCAUUACCUUACGUUUGAGAUUCAACAGUCCCAUGCAGAUCAGUUCCUAAAUCUUUGCCAAGGGAAUAUGAGUGUGAAAGAGUACAACCUCCAGUUUAAAUCUUUGUCUAGGUAUGCUCCUAAUGUAGUAGCUACUAUAGAUGAUAGAGUUCAUCAAUAUGUGGAUAGAUUAGAUCUAUAUUUGGUUAGAGAUUAUACUAUUACUGCUUUGAACAAAGACAUGGACAUAGCAAGGAUAUAGUUUUUGCUAAAAAAAUGGAGGAUCGGAGGCAAAGAAGAACACAAGAAUUGAAAAAAGGGUAUUCUAACAGGGCCAGAACUAUGGGGAAGUUCAUGGAAUCCCAAGGUGAGUUUUGGAAUUGAUUUUCUAAUAGUCCGUCUAGGCCAGUAUCUUCUUAUCCUACAGAUAAUGCUCCACCACAAUUUCAAGGGUCCAAAGGCAACCAGUUUGGGCAAAGAAGUGAGAGUCAGGUUCACAAACAAUGGGGUAUCAAGAGAAAGGGAGUAUGAUCCAAUUAAGGCUUUUUAGUUAGUCAUGUAAACAAUGUGAAAAGCUUCAUUUAUGUGCAUAUCAGUUUGGGACAAAUGCUUGCUUUUGGUGUGGUACGUCGGGGUAUAUCAUUAAAGAAUGCCCACAAAGAGGCAUGGGUGGAAUGGCAUGACCUACUAUAUCAGCCAUUGCAUCAUCAUCAUUGGUGCCUUCUUUAGGUAGAGGUGUACAACCUAUAGGUCGUGGUAGAGGUGCAAAAAGGAGUAGCUAGCUCUAGUAGAGUUCAGAAUCGUACAUAUGCUCUAGCAGAUCGACAAAAUUUAGAGGCUUCUCCAGAUGUGGUUACAGGUACAUUGUCCAUAUUUUUACAUAAUGUAUAUGUAUUAAUUGAUCCGGGUUCUACUUUAUCAUAUAUCACUCCAUUGGUUGCUGGAAAGUUUAAAAGGACACCAGAAUUGCUAGUUAAGCCAUUUGAAGUGUCUAUGCCGGUUGGUGAAUCUAUUAUAGCUAGGGAAGUGUAUCGAAAUUGUAUAAUAACUAUAUGGUCGGGAUACAAUGGAUGACCUGGUUGAGUUAGAAAUGGUAGAUUUUGAUGCUAUAAUAGGUAUGGAUUGGUUGGCUUCUUGUUAUGCCACAGUAGAUUGCCGAACUAAGAAGGUGUAUUUCUAUUUUCCAAGAGAGGUGGCCCUUGAAUGGAGGGAUAAAAUUGGUGCACCAAGAGGUAAAUUUAUUUCAUAUUUUAUGGAUAAAAGUAUGAUUUCUAAGGGUUACAUAUAUCAUCUAGUUAUAGUGAAGGAUACAGAUGCGGAGCCACCAACGCUUCUAGCUAUUCCAGUGGUAAGUGAAUUUCCCGAUAUAUUUCUUGAAGAUCUUCCAGGUUUUCCACCAAAACGAGAAGUGGAGUUCGGUAUUGAUGUAAUUCUAGGUACUCAACUAAUUUUAAUUCCUCUAUAUAGAAUGGCCCUGACAGAAUUACGGGAGUUGAAAGAGAAAUUGAAAGAGUUGCUAGAAAAAGAAUUCAUAAGGCCUAGAAUAUCCCCUUGGGGUGCACCAGUGUUAUUUGUACGUAAGAAAGAUGGCUCUUUGAGAAUGUGUAUUGACUAUCGAUAACUGAAUAAGGUGACUAUUAUGAACAAAUAUCCCCUUUUGAGAAUUGAUGACUUAUUCGACCAGUUGCAAGGGGCCAAGUGUUUUUCAAAGAUUUAUUUGAGGUCAGGUUACCACCAAGUGAGGGUCAAAGAGAAGGAUAUACCAAAGAUAGCUUUUCGAACACGAUACGGUCAUUACGAGUUUCUAGUCAUGUCCUUUGGGCUAACUAAUGCCCCUGAAGCUUUAUGGAGUUGAUGAAUAGGGUGUUUAAGACAUUCUUGGAUGUGUUUGUGAUAGUUUUUAUAGAUGAUAUUUUGGUUUAUUCGAUAUCAAAGGAGGACCAUGCCAGUCACUUACGACAGGUGUUAUAAAUUCUUCGUGAUUGUAAGUUAUAUGUAAAGUUCUCUAAAUGUGAGUUUUGGUUAAAAUAUAUGGCAUUUUGGGUCAUAUUAUAUCUGAUGAAGGGAUAAUGGUUGAUACUCAAAGUAUAGAAUCCGUGAAGAACUUCCCAAGACCUAUAACGCCUACGGAGGUUCAUAGUUUCCUUGGGUUAGCAGGUUAUUAUAGAAGGUUCGUUGAAGGUUUUUCUUCAAUUUCUGCACCUUUAACAAAGCUAAAACACAAAACUUCCAAGUUUCAAUGGAAUGAGGCAUGUGAAAGGAGUUUCCAAGAUAUGAAGAAUAAGUUGACUUCUACACCCGUUUUGGUAUUUCCAGAAGGCACUGAACGGUAUGCAGUAUUUUGUGAUGCUUCAAGAAUUGGUUUAGGAUGUGUGUUGAUGCAUCAUGGUAAAGUGAUAGCAUAUGUCUCAAGACAAUUGUGGCCACAUGAGAAAAAUCAUCCAACACAUGAUCUGGAGCUAGCAACGGUUAUAUUUUCCUUAAAGAUAUGGUGUCACUACUUGUAUGGGAUUUAUGUUGACAUAUAUACUGACCACAAGAGUUUGUAAUAUAUCUUUAAUCAGAAGGACCUAAAUUUGAGCCAGCAAAGAACGCUUGAGCUGUUAAAAGACUAUGACAUUGAUAUCUUGUAUUAUUCAGUGAAAACAAAUAUGGUAGCAGAUGUGUUAAGUCGAAAGACUAUGGCACCGUCUAUAGAAAGACAAGGGAUGACUAAAGAUAUGUACCAACUAGCCAAUUUAGGGGUUCGCCUUCUUAAAACUCUAGAUGAAGGGCUUAUUAUGCAUAAUGCGGCAGAAUCUUUAUUAGUAGCUGAAGUAAAAGAGAAACAAUAUGAAGAUCCCAUACUAUUCCAACUUAAGGAGAAUGUACAAUGUGGUAUGACAAAGUCAUUUAAGCUAACGCAAGAGUGAGUUACUUCAGUGCCAAAAUAGAUUAUGUGUACCUAAUGUAGAUGGGCUAAGAAAGAGGAUUAUGACAGAGACAUAUCAUUCAAGGUAUUUCAUCCACCCAGGGUCAACUAAAAUGUAUCAUGAUUUGAAAGGAUGUAUUGGUGGGGUGACAUGAAGAAGAACAUUGCAGAAUUUGUAGCCGAAUGUCCAAAUUGUCCAAGAGUUAAAGUAGAGCACCAAAAUCCUAAGGGUUAUAUGCAAUGUAUAGAUAUUCCGAUCUAGAAGAGGGACAUAAUCAACAUGGAUUUUAUUAUUGGUUUGCCUCGUACAUCUCAAAAGUUUGAUUCCAUAUGGGUGAUAGUUGAUAGGCUUACCAUAUCAACACACUUUCUAUCAGUUAGGACUACUUAUACAGUUGAAGAUUAUGCCAAAUUGUAUAUCAAAGAGAUAGUUUAAUUACACGGAGUAUCAAUCUCUAUUAUAUUAGAUAGGGAAGCUCAAUUUACUAUAAAUUUUUGGAAGUUUUUUAGAGAAAUUUGGGAACACAAGUUAAUUUAAGUACAGUUUUCCACCCUCAAAUAGAUGGACAAGCAGAACGUACCAUUCAAACACUUAAAGAUAUACUACAAGAUUAUGUAUUGGACUUUAAAGGUAGUUGGGAUGAUCAUUUACCUAUCAUCAAGUUUGCCUACAACAAUAGCUAUCAUUCAAGUAGUAAAAUGGCACCAUAUGAGGCUUUGUAUGGGAGAAAGUGUAGAUCACCAAUUAGAUGGUUUGAAGUGGGUGAAACUGCCUUGUUCUGGCUAGAUCUUGCUCAUCAAGCUAUGGAAAAGGUUAAAGUGAUCCAACAACAGUUAGAGAUAGCCCAAAUUCAACAUAAGUCUUAUGCAGAUGUUAGAAGAAGGGGGCUAGAGUUUGCUAUAGUUGAUUGGGUAUUCUUAAAGGUGUCACCAAUCAAGGGGGUUAUAAGAUUUGGUAAGAAUGGAAAACUAAGUCCACGUUAUAUAGGCCUAUAUAAGAUUACUCGGAGGUUUGGCCAAGUUGCUUAUGAAUUAGAGCUACCCAAAACUCUCAAUAGUUCAUCGAAUAUUUCAUAUCUCAAUGCUUCAAAAGUGCAUCGGAGAUCCAUCUCAUAUUACUCCCACUGAAGAUGUACAAGUUACGGAAGAUCUUACCUAUGAAGAAAUACCUAUUGCUAUUCUAGAUCAACAAGUUAAGAAGUUGAGGAAUAAGGAAAUAGCUUCUGUAAAAGUGCUUUGGAGAAACUAACAAGUAGAGGAGAUAACAUGGGAAGCUGAAGAAGUGAUGAAAUCUAAGUACCCCCAUUUGUUCAAUACGAAGAAAAAGUCCAAGAUGCUGAAUUGGAGCAAUAACAAGUAAGUAUAUAUAUAAGUACUAUGUGAUAAUAGGUAUAUUUAACUUAGGCUUGAAAUUAUUUUGGUUGGAUAGUUAUGCUAACAUUCGAGGACGAAUGUUUCUAAGGAGGAGAGGAUGUGACACCCCAUACAUUGCAUGUACUUUUUCUAUUUAUAUGUAACUUGGUAUAGCCUUGUGGUAGGUAAUGGAUGGAUUUGUUAUAUGAAUAUUAAUAGUUUAGAUGAAAUUCUAGAUGUUGACCGUACCUUUUUAUGUGAUGCGAUCAAGUUAACAUCGAUACAACUAUUUAACUUGGAAUUGUAAGUCAGUAUUUGAAUCUAAAGUUUAAAGUGACCAGGUGUGUAUAAGUUGUAAGUUAGAUUAAGGUGAUUAGGAGCUGGAAAGGGAAUAAAAUAUUAAGGUGCUUACUUUAAUUAAUUAAGCUAGUAGGUGAGUCAACUACUUGGGUUACAUGAGCCAAGUUAAUGGACCAAGUCCAUGAAUUAGAUUUGGGCCUUUAUUAGUAACUUAUUUGGGGACUAAAUUACGUAAAAGAAGAAGGAAAAUGGAGAAAAGGCCCAAUAAGUAGGUGCAUCAUCUACUUUGACAUUUGAGCUGUUUGAACUCCUUAAGUAGGUGCAUCACCUACUUGGACCAAUUUGAUUAAAUUUGUGGUCCAAAAUCAGCUAAGUGGAUGGCCAAAAUUAGGGACUUUAUAAGGCCACAUUUCUGGCCAUUUUCCCUCAUUCUUAAGUCACAAAAAAGGGUUACCUCACAAAUUCUCUCUACUUCCUUAUAAAUAACAAGGCUCAACCUUAUUUUCCUUUCUAGGGUUCUUGAAGAAGCCCCAACCUUUACAGGCCAAGGUAAGUAAAAACACUUAUGAUUUAUCUUAAUUAUCUCAAAAAAUAUUAGGAAAACAUGAUUUAAAUGAUUAAUUAUUGAUUCAUGGUAGACUAUGGAACAAGCUACUUGUUCACUUUUUCUUUGUUAUUAAGAGAUUUCCUUUCUUUUUUAGUUUAAAGUGUGAAGGAAAGUGAAAGUUGAAGUUCUUGAGGAGUUCAAAUUAAAAGAAUAAGUUGCAGAAUUAAGGUAAGGUGACUUUCCAUUUUGUUUUCCUUAUGUAUGAAUUUAAGAAAGAAUUAUGGAUGUGUUGUUAUUGAGAACUCAAGGGAUGAUGAGUUCAAUAAUUGAUUGCUAUAAUAAAAGGGAUUUAGGACUAUUUAGUGGAUUGUUUUGUAUGUAUAUGUUAUGGGUUGCCAGGUUGAUGUUGGAGAAAGGUGUGACUAGUCUGAAUUGAAAUAUAAAAGAAAGGUGUGGCGGUACACCACCGAACUAAUUAUUGCAUGUGUUUACUGCCCAAUCUAUUUUGGAGGGUGUAAUGAAGCUGAGGCGGUUUCGGAGAAUAUUAUAAGAACAUAUAUGGUAUGCGGGCGUAAUUGGAGGAUAAAAGGGUUAAAAUAACACCCUUGAUUGAUAGAUUAAGUGCUUAUUGCCUGGUUAAUAUUUUAGUAAAGUUAAGUUGCCCAAAUGUGUUGAUUGGUUGUUAAUACUAGUUUACCAUAUAUUCUAUUGUAGAUAAGUAAUUUAAAAGGCGGGAAGUCAAGUUGGGUUAGUUUCAGAGUUAUAUGACCAGGUAUGUAAGGCAUACUCUAUUUUGCACUCUUUGGCAUGAAAUCAGACAUUUGUUCUAUCAAGUAAGCUUCCAAGGUUAUCCGAUGACAAGUGAUACAUAAUAGCAUCACAUUACAUUCAAUGUAGCCAAUUACCUUAUUCCCACUCUCUAAUGUGUUAAAACACCUCAAUACAUGCUUAUUAUUUAACCUGUACAUUUAUUUUCACUAGAAAAUUUUAGAAGUUCUCCGUUUACUCAAAUAAGAGCCAUGUGUAUGUUCAGCUCCUAAACACUUCAUUUGUGUGCCAAUAACUCCCUAGCUCAUUGUUGUUACAUUAAGUUCCCAUUUAUAUGUCUCUGAUUGUCAGAUUAUUGUUUCAAGGUACCAUAAUGUUAUGACCACCAAAGUAACAAUCUCAAAGGCUAAAUAAACUAAGUAACGUAAAUCUGUAAAAUGAGCGGCAGCUCAGGGGUAUAAGCCUAGCAUGGGACGAUCUAGAUACCUUUAUAUGUGGGUGGUAGCUUAGGGGUAUAAGCCUAGCAUGGGCCGAUCCCAAUGUUCUUAUGUGGGUAGCAGCUUAGGGGCGUAAACCUAGCAUGGGCCGAUCCCAAUAUAUCUAUUUACCACUGAUCAGCUGUUCAUUUGCAUUAUGUGGCUUACAAAGAUUAUGAAGUAAGAAAGGUUAAAAAUAGAGAAAAGAAUGUACUGUACGUCAUCCUACAUAUAUAUAUUAAGGUGGUCUACUAGUACUACUUAUACACUUGUAUCUAAUUUUUAUUGAGCUCUUGUAUCAUAUGUUGUUACCUUCAGCCUUACAUAUUCAGUACAUAUCUUUGUACUGACGUCCCUCACGGGGGACCUGUAUUUCAUGCUACUGGAAUAGGUGCUUCAGCUAAUACACUUUGCUAGUAUGAACCCAGGCUAUUUAGUGACUAUCGGUAAGCUCCAGGUUAAUUUAGGGCUUUUCGAGUCUGUUCCAUAUAUUUUGGUAUUGUGCAAUAGUCAAGAGUAGGGUGGGGGUUUGUCCCGACCCUAACUAAGUCUAUGUAUAUUUUCGAGGCUUUUUAGACUAAUGUAAAGUUAAACAUGGUAGUGUCUUGUCUUUUAGAUGUGGUGGCCCCAACAGCCAAGUGUAAUAUAUAUAAGUUUGUGUUUGCCUACGUAGUUAUUCUCAUCGAUGCAUAAUAUCAUGUUUGUCAGAACCUUUGGAUGUCAGAGUAACAUGCAUGAGAAGUACAAGGUUAUGAAUUGGUUCUCUCGGGCCUUUACGGCUAUGGGUGCCUGUCCACACCAAUAGGAUUUGAGGCAUGACAAAUCGAGUUCCCAAGAAACCGCGUUUCUAAACAAAGGUAUUAACACAAUCUAAUCCAAGCUUGUAAUUCACUCAUAAGAUUAUUUUUUUAAUAUCAUCAAAGUUACAAUUGAAAUGACUAAGGCAUAUAUUUAUAAUGUCUGCCUUUGCUUAUACUAGCCUAUUAGAAAAAUAAUCCAAAAGUUGCUAUUUUGUAAAUAACCCACAUGGGCUCUUCAAAUCAUGCUCCACACACGGCCUUAUGGGCUUAGGAGCCUAAAAGGGGUCCACCGAAUACACUCUUGAGAUCUUGGCUUGAUCGUGGAUUGAAUAUUUUUUUAUUGGCCUCGAAAGAUGUAGUCUAAUGCUUUAAGGCCGAUCCAGAUCGUAUCACAGUCUUGCCUUUUUUAUGUUUAUAUCUUGCUUUAUUUGAAAGGAUGCAAGCCAAAUUCAAACUUCCAUUUCUUAUUUGUUUGAAAAAACUACUUGUUACUACUUCUAUAUUUGUACUUUCUAUCGAGUUUUUGGCCAUACACAAACACACAUAGUAUACGUGAGGGUUGUCUUGCACUCCUCUAAAUCCUCUUUGGAUUCCUUAGUUUCAUCGUUGGUGCAAUUAGGUUAGUGCUCCUUCUAGCAAUUAUUCAGUCAUAUAUAUGCGAUAUUAAAAGUUUGAAGGGCCCUAAAAAUAUUAUUUGAUAUUUUUUCCCUUUAUAAUCUUCGUUUUAGACAGAAUCGUCUUUUCACCAUUUUCGCUUUAAACAAAAUCUUCUUUUCACCAGUUUCCUACUAUUUAAGAGUUGAGAACAUUAAUUAAAUAUUUAUAGUAAAACGUUUCCUUAUUAGGAUUAAUCAGAAUUAUUGGCAACUAAUAUAUAUUUUUCAUUAAUUUCAGAAUUCUAAAUCAAAUAAAUUUAGAUUUUAAGAAUAUCUGAAAAAUCUAGAAAUAAAUAUGAAUGCGUUAGAAUAAAAAAAAUAUAAGAAGUACUAAAUUUUAAAAAGAUUUAAGUAAUAAAAUA
This 20611-nucleotide long non-coding RNA is filed under the name Capsicum annuum. RNAcentral describes it as "long non-coding RNA (CANN_LNC011276)". Lineage: Eukaryota; Viridiplantae; Streptophyta; Magnoliopsida; Solanales; Solanaceae. The record is from RNAcentral.